UAGUCCACGCCCUAAACGAUGUUAACUGGAUGUUUGUCACGUAGUGAUGAGCAUCUGAGGGAAACCAUUAAGUUAUCCGCCUGGGGAGUACGGUCGCAAGAUUAAAACUCAAAGGAAUUGACGGGGGCCUGCACAAGCGGUGGAGCAUGUGGUUUAAUUCGACGCAACGCGCAGAACCUUACCAGCUUUUGACAUCCUGGUCGCGGAUUUGGGAGACCAUUUCCUUCAGUUCGGCUGGACCAGUGACAGGUGCUGCAUGGCUGUCGUCAGCUCGUGUCGUGAGAUGUUGGGUUAAGUCCCGCAACGAGCGCAACCCUUGCCGAUAGUUGCCAGCGGUUUGGCCGGGCACUCUAUCGGGACUGCCGGUGUUAAACCGGAGGAAGGUGGGGAUGACGUCAAGUCCUCAUGGCCCUUAUGCCCAGGGCUACACACGUGCUACAAUGGACUGUACAGAGGGCCGCGAAGCCGCGAGGUGGAGCUAAUCUCAGAAAACAGUCCUCAGUUU
Molecule: ribosomal RNA, 505 nt
Filed under: uncultured bacterium
Lineage: Bacteria
Description: bacterial SSU rRNA
Rfam family: Bacterial small subunit ribosomal RNA
Source: RNAcentral